GUGCUUGCUUCGACAGCACAUAUACAAAAAUUGGAACAAUACGGAGAAGGUUAGCAUGGCCCCUACACAAGGAUGACACGCAAAUUCGUGAAGAGUUCCAUAUUUUU
Molecule: small nuclear RNA, 107 nt
Filed under: Physeter macrocephalus (sperm whale)
Lineage: Eukaryota; Metazoa; Chordata; Mammalia; Artiodactyla; Physeteridae
Source: RNAcentral